This 438-nucleotide ribosomal RNA is filed under the name uncultured bacterium. RNAcentral describes it as "bacterial SSU rRNA". It matches the Rfam family "Bacterial small subunit ribosomal RNA", at positions 87 to 518 of the family's 1533-position model. The record is from RNAcentral.
GGUGGCGACCGGCGCACGGGUGAGUAACGCGUAUGCAACCUACCUAUCAGAGGGGAAGUAACCCGGCGAAAGUCGGACUAAUACCGCAUAAAACAGGGGCACCGCAUGGUGAUAUUUGUUAAAGAAAUUCGCUGAUAGAUGGGCAUGCGUUCCAUUAGGUAGUUGGUGAGGUAACGGCUCACCAAGCCGACGAUGGAUAGGGGAACUGAGAGGUUGGUCCCCCACACUGGUACUGAGACACGGACCAGACUCCUACGGGAGGCAGCAGUGAGGAAUAUUGGUCAAUGGGGCGGGAGCCUGAACCAGCCAAGUCGCGUGGAAAAGGAAGAAGGAUCUAUGGUUCGUAAACUUCUUUUGCAGGGGAAUAAAGUGCAGGACGUGUCCUGUUUUGUAUGUACCCUGAGAAUAAGGAUCGGCUAACUCCGUGCCAGCAGCUGC